UGCCGGGUGGUGUCAAAGUAGCACAGAUGCCUGUUAAGCAUCCUGUCCUGGUGCGAGUCCAGGUCCGGCAGCCA
This 74-nucleotide transfer RNA is filed under the name Pedosphaera parvula Ellin514. RNAcentral describes it as "tRNA-Asn". It matches the Rfam family "tRNA". From Rfam's summary of the family: Transfer RNA (tRNA) molecules are approximately 80 nucleotides in length. Their secondary structure includes four short double-helical elements and three loops (D, anti-codon, and T loops). Lineage: Bacteria; Pseudomonadati; Verrucomicrobiota; Pedosphaerae; Pedosphaerales; Pedosphaeraceae. The record is from RNAcentral.